UGAGGAAUAUUGCCCAAUGGACGAAAGUCUGAGGCAGCGACGCCGCGUGGGUGAUGAAGGCCUUCGGGUCGUAAAGCCCUUUUCUGUGUGACGAGCAAAGGACGGUAGCACAGGAAAAAGUCUCGGCUAACUACGUGCCAGCAGCCGCGGUAAAACGUAGGAGGCAAGCGUUAUCCGGAGUUACUGGGCGUAAAGCGUGCGUAGGCGGGUCGGUAAGUGGGUGGUGAAAGCGCCGGGCUAAACCGGGCGAGGUCCAUUCAGACUGCCAACCUAGAGGCGGAUAGAGGGGUGCGGAAUUCCGGGUGUAGCGGUGAAAUGUGUAGAGAUCCGGAGGAACACCAGUGGUGCAAACGGCGCCCUGGGUCCGAACUGACGCUGAGGCACGAAAGCGUGGGGAGCGAAC
RNAcentral lists this ribosomal RNA (403 nucleotides) under uncultured bacterium. RNAcentral describes it as "bacterial SSU rRNA". It matches the Rfam family "Bacterial small subunit ribosomal RNA", at positions 355 to 773 of the family's 1533-position model. The record is from RNAcentral.